GCCAGCAUGGUUUAGCGGUUUGAGUGUUGGACUACUACUCUGGAGACCAGGGUUCGAUUCCUAGCUUGGCC
Phrynosoma platyrhinos (Desert horned lizard) is the source of this 71-nucleotide non-coding RNA. Lineage: Eukaryota; Metazoa; Chordata; Lepidosauria; Squamata; Phrynosomatidae. The record is from the annotation of a GenBank genome assembly.